This 1515-nucleotide ribosomal RNA is filed under the name metagenome. RNAcentral describes it as "bacterial SSU rRNA". It matches the Rfam family "Bacterial small subunit ribosomal RNA". The record is from RNAcentral.
AGAGUUUGAUUCUGGCUCAGAACGAACGCUGGCGGCGUGGAUAAGACAUGCAAGUCGAACGGGAUUUCAUUUGUAGCAAUACACGUGAAGUUCAGUGGCGUAAGGGUGCGUAACACGUGGGUAAUCUGCCGAGAUGUGGGGGAUAGCUCGCCGAAAGGCGAAUUAAUACCGCAUGUGGUUAGUGUUGGAUUCAACACGACACCAAAGCCGGGGCAACCUGGCGCAUCUUGAUGAGCCCGCGGCCUAUCAGCUAGUUGGUGAGGUAACGGCUCACCAAGGCUAUGACGGGUAGCUGGUCUGAGAGGACGACCAGCCACACUGGAACUGAGACACGGUCCAGACACCUACGGGUGGCAGCAGUCGAGAAUUUUUCUCAAUGGGGGAAACCCUGAAGGAGCGACGCCGCGUGGAGGAUGAAGGUCUUCGGAUUGUAAACUCCUGUCAUUUGGGAACAAUUGUUGGCGAUUAACUGUCGUCAGCUUGAUAGUACCAGAAGAGGAAGAGACGGCUAACUCUGUGCCAGCAGCCGCGGUAAUACAGAGGUCUCAAGCGUUGUUCGGAUUCAUUGGGCGUAAAGGGUGCGUAGGUGGCGAGGUUAGUCAGGUGUGAAAUCUCGGGGCUCAACCCCGAAACUGCACUUGAUACUGCCUUGCUAGAGUACUGGAGAGGAGAUUGGAAUUUACGGUGUAGCAGUGAAAUGCGUAGAUAUCGUAAGGAAGACCAGUGGCGAAGGCGAAUCUCUGGACAGUUACUGACACUGAGGCACGAAGGCCAGGGGAGCAAACGGGAUUAGAUACCCCGGUAGUCCUGGCAGUAAACGGUGCGCGUUUGGUGUGGGAGGAUUCGACCCCUUCUGUGCCGGAGCUAACGCGUUAAACGCGCCGCCUGGGGAGUACGGUCGCAAGAUUAAAACUCAAAGAAAUUGACGGGGGCCCGCACAAGCGGUGGAGUAUGUGGCUUAAUUCGAUCCACGCGAAGAACCUUACCUAGCCUUGACAUGCAUCUCUAAGUCGGUGAAAGCCGGCGACUGUAGCAAUACAGAAUUUGCACAGGUGCUGCAUGGCUGUCGUCAGCUCGUGUCGUGAGAUGUUGGGUUAAGUCCCGCAACGAGCGCAACCCCUGUGAACUGUUGCCACCGGCCUUCGGGCCGAGCACUCUGUUCAGACUGCCCUGUGAAACGGGGAGGAAGGUGGGGAUGACGUCAAGUCAGCAUGGCCCUUACGGCUAGGGCUGCACACGUACUACAAUGCUCAGUACAGAACGAACCGAAACCGCGAGGUGGAGGAAAUCCCCAAAACUGAGCCCAAUUCGGAUUGGAGGCUGCAACUCGCCUCCAUGAAGCCGGAAUCGCUAGUAAUGGCGUAUCAGCUACGACGCCGUGAAUACGUUCCCGGGCCUUGUACACACCGCCCGUCACAUCAUGGAAGUCACUUGUACCCGAAGUGCAUGCGCCAACCGCAAGGAGGCAGUGCCCUAAGGUAUGGGCGGUAACUGGGAUGAAGUCGUAACAAGGUA